UCCAUCAGUACAUAUAUAUUCUGGAGAAGUACUGUCAGUGGGCAGUUAUCUCAAUCUAGGCUUGAGUUGAAGGAGGAAAGUGAGGGUAAAAUCACAGAAGAAUGUUUUAGGUACACUCUGACAUAGCCUAGGGCCGCAACAAAAAGGCACAAUUCCACUAUUUACAAUAAUGGAAUAGAAGACAUUGGACUUCAUAAGAAUACCAUGAGAGAGUCUGUUUUUUGUAACCGAGAGAACGUAAUCCUGAAAAGGAAGGAAUCAGCAGCCAGUUACUGUGCCUGAGGAAGUUCAAGGACACAAUCAGCUUGAUUAUCCCCCAGCUCUGCAGGUUCCAUCAACAUACAUUUGUGGAAUAUUCAGCGCAUCUACUGUGAGGAAGGCAAUUUUCUGGUAUCCAUGUACACCAUUAAAAGAUGACACUUCAUGGGUUAGAAACAGCCUGACUUCUGACUCCUGAUUCAGGAAAGUGAGAAAAAAUUGAGGUAAUUUCUACCACUUCCUUCUCACUGAAACCAAGC
RNAcentral lists this long non-coding RNA (518 nucleotides) under Monodelphis domestica (gray short-tailed opossum). Its description in RNAcentral is "lncRNA (ENSMODG00000035129.2)". Lineage: Eukaryota; Metazoa; Chordata; Mammalia; Didelphimorphia; Didelphidae. The record is from RNAcentral.